AUUUAUAUAUACAUAUGAUAUUUUUCUUUCUUCCUUAUGGCCAAUAAUUUUUCUUUUAUUCUUAGUUCAAACACGCAACAUUAAUCCUAUAAAAAAAAAAGAAAAUCGAAAAUUUUGUAUGUAUAUAUAUAUAUGUGCGUGUGUAUACAUACAUGUAAACGUUACGACGUAGAGCCAUUGGAGGAGUUGUGUGUGUGUAUUUGUGAAGAAAGGUAUUUAUUGUUUAAUAUCUCAAGCCAUAUUUCAAUAUUAUUUUAUACGAGAUGUUAUAGUAAGCCCUAUUUAUUUCCGAAGAAACGUACAAAACAAAUAAUAAAACAAAUUGUUGGCUCGGAAAAUAAAGAAAAAUUGUCAAUAAACUGUAGUUUAAAAAAAAAAAAAAUACUUUAAAAAGUAUACAGAUAUAUAUAUGUAUAUAAAUUCGUAUAUUUUUUGAAAAUUUUUUUUUUUUUCCUCGUAGAAUAUAUCCUUCGAAGGUCGAAUUGUUGGAGCGGAAAUUGAAAAUUCAUGCGAGAUCGUGCGUGCAUGUCAUUUCCGGUUGUUAACUCGAUUCAUAGGAUACGAAACGUAUAUAUAUUAAAACGUGCGUCAUACGUUAACGCAGAAUACGCAACUAUAUUAAUAAAUAAAAUUCGAAAUUAAAGCGUUAAAAAAUUAUAUAUAUAUAUAUAAUUAGGUUGGUAGUAAAGCUGUUCGAUUCCAAUCGAGAAGAGAGAGAGAGAGAGAAAACGUCUCUUCGAAGUUUAAUGAAUAAAAAUUUUU
This 762-nucleotide long non-coding RNA is filed under the name Androctonus crassicauda. The record is from RNAcentral. Lineage: Eukaryota; Metazoa; Arthropoda; Arachnida; Scorpiones; Buthidae.